RNAcentral lists this ribosomal RNA (267 nucleotides) under uncultured bacterium. RNAcentral's name for it is "partial 16S ribosomal RNA". It matches the Rfam family "Bacterial small subunit ribosomal RNA", at positions 333 to 596 of the family's 1533-position model. The record is from RNAcentral.
AGUAGCCUACGGGGGGCAGCAGUGAGGAAUAUUGGUCAAUGGGCGAGAGCCUGAACCAGCCAAGUCGCGUGAAGGAUGACGGCCCUACGGGUUGUAAACUUCUUUUGUCAGGGAGCGAUUGGGUCCACGUGUGGGCUUAGCGAGAGUACCUAAAGAAAAAGCAUCGGCUAACUCCGUGCCAGCAGCCGCGGUAAUACGGAGGAUGCGAGCGUUAUCCGGAUUUAUUGGGUUUAAAGGGUGCGUAGGCGGAAUAUCGAGUCAGCGGUA